AUGAUUUUGUUGGCUGGAGUAGUUGGUGUUGUAUCAGCAAUUUCCGGAAUCAGUCAUAUCUGUUCAUGGACUGCUAAGAGUCUGCCAUCUGCAGCUUCAGUUGCUACCAUGGCUUGGACUCUUACACUUCUUGCCAUGGGCUUCGCCUGGAAAGAGAUUGAGCUUCAAAUUAGAAACGCACGUCUGAGAACCAUGGAGGCUUUCUUAAUUAUCCUCUCAAUUACACAACUUCUCUACAUAAUUGCCAUUGAUGGUGCUGCUGCAUAUAAUAUAUAUACUUGA
Molecule: non-coding RNA, 282 nt
Organism: Vicia faba (fava bean)
Lineage: Eukaryota; Viridiplantae; Streptophyta; Magnoliopsida; Fabales; Fabaceae
Source: the annotation of a GenBank genome assembly